CUUAUUCUCACCAUCAUUUUAUUUCUGCAUUGCCAUACACCUUUCUUUCUGAUUAAAAUUAAUCCCAUCCAGUUUGCACUGUUGAGUUUAUAAAAUGGGAGACUGGAAAUAUCUGUUCAGUCACACACUGAUUCAAUCAUACAUUCAUUCAACAUACAAUAAUUGAGCACCUACAAUAGAAUACCAUAUUGGGUCCUAUAGAAGAGACGGAUAAAAGGGAGGGGGUCCAUGCCUUCAGAAACUUAAAAUCCAGCUGGAUGUGCAACACUUAACACACACGAAACAAAGCAUCCUCAAAUGCACAAUUCUCAUCAGAGGAACAGCAAAUUAGAGCAGAAAGCUAAAGCUUUGCCAUGCACACCAAUGCUGCUAUAUCAGCAGAAUGAGCAGGAGGGGGAGAAAAGCCACUGUGGUUAAAAGAAACUGCUGGCCUAUGGAUUUUUUUAAAUUACAAUUUGCAUGCUCUUCUAACAGUGUUAGUUCUGCUUAGGUGGCAGAGUGGCUUUCCUGAAAGUAUGAGCUCAGCCUUGUCUUAUGCCUGUUUAAAGAAAGAGGUCAGGUAAAGUGAUUGUAGUAAUAGCACCAAGCUGGUUGAAAACCACAGUAUCUCUCAGAUGGCACCAAAAACACCCACACGAUGGAAAAUUUUUGCCUGCUAAAAGCCGCUUGAAGUUGUUUCAGAAACACAUAUGAGCAGUAUUUGCUCUUCUCCUUGGGAGUGUUCUCGAGGAAAACAGCUUUCCAAACUUAACAUGUUAAGGUAGUAGAACAGUCUAGUGGCCUGAGUGAAUUUUGGAUUGAGCAGCAAGUGGGCCUUGAGUAUUCAGGUAGCAAGUGGUCAAGGAGAAUUUGGAGCUGGUCAGUGCCUGGCUAAACUGCAUGUGCCUUGAAGAGAAGUCCUUCAGAUCCACCUGUGUCUACACAAAUUCAUGAGUGACUGGUGCCGUGAAUUCAGUCCCACUAACGCACCAGCUGUGCUUUUUGGUAGUUGUUUCCUUUUCUUGGCAAUUUGGUUUUAGGUUGUGUCAAAAGGGGAAGACACAGAACUGAGACAAGGCAAAAUUAUAAGACAUGUAUCUUAUUUUUUAGCUUCUCUAUAUCACUAUAUUUGAGGUGAAGGAUUUAAUCCUUAUAUAGCUCUUCCAAAUCUCUUCAUACAGUACCACAAUUUAUAACUGAACUCUAUACUGAAUAAUCAUUUAAAGCAUUUUAAACUACCUUGGAAGAGAAAUGAGUAAUGACUCAAUAUAUUUGCAAAAACCCAUACUGUAUCUAUUGUAGGAUGUCUACAUAAAAACUGAAUAACCCCAUCAGUGUUCAUUUGACAUCAAAGUGGACCUAGGGGCAGAAAACAAAAGGACUCUCAUCUUAAGGGCUGAUAAAUGUAGUCUAUGUGUGGUAUUGAUAAUUUUUUUAAUUCACAGAUCAAAUAUAUUUUAAUGUACACAUGGAAGAAUUUAACUAUGAAGUUCAUGAAGAAUGGCAAGUAUUAACAUACUGAAAGAUGGUAUUCAUGUGCAGGAGAAAGAUAAUCAUCUGUUUCUCAAUGAUGGCAACAUGCAAUAAAUGACUUCCUUCCGUAGAACCUCCAAAUUAGAGUAAUUCGUGUAUUUCCCGUUUCACAUUCUAGGAAAUCAUGACAUGCAAAAAACAUUACUUGAUGCCCAGCAUGAAGCUCACUCACAGACACCCUGAAAAUAGUCACUGAUCGCACUGGAGCAAAAAAACAGCUUUCAGCCUGAGGAAGAUCACAUUGAGAGAAGUUGAAAGCAUUUUGAAGAAAAACUCAGAUUGGACACAGAUUAGUCAAGUUGGUCUGAAAGUAUCCCCUUGUCUUAGUCUGUUCCUGCUGCUGUAACAAAAUACCACAGACUGGGUAAUUCGUAAAGAACAGAAACUUACUCUCAUAGUCCUGGAGGCUGGGAAGUUCGAGAUCAAGGUGCCAACAUAUUCAGUGUCUGCUGAAGGUCCAGUCUCCACUUCCACAAUGGCGCCUUGUUGCUGCAUCCUCCAGAGUGGACAAACACUGUGUCCUCACAUAACGGAAUGGAUAGGAGGCAAAAGGGCCUAAGCUAGUACCUUCCACCCCUUUUAUAAGGCAUGAAUCUAUAUCUUGAUGGGGAAGCCCUCAUGACUUUAUCACAUCUCACAUCCAAAAACCCUGAGUCUUAAUACAACCAUAAUCUGAAUUAUGUUUCAAGAUGAAUUUUGGAAGGGUAACAUUCAAACCAUAGCACUUCCCAGAAGAUAACUUCUUUAAACAAACAUACAAAGCACACAGCAUCUCUCAGCGUGAACAACACGUGUUAUGAUGAAAGGGUGUUUCUUUCUUUCUUUCUUUUUCUUUCUUUCUUUCUUUCUUUCUUUCUUUCUCUCUCUCUCUCUUCUUUUCUUCUUUCCUUCCUUCCUUCCUUCCUUCCUUCCUUCCUUCCUUCCUUCCUUCCUUCCUUCUUUCUUUCUUUCUUUCUUUCAGACAGGGCCUCCCUCUGUCAUCCAGGCUAGAGUGCAGUGGCAUGAUCAUGGAUCACUGCAACCUCCACCUCCCAGGCUCAAGCAAUCCUCCCGCCCCAGCCUCCCAAGUAGCUGGGACCACAGGCAUGCACCACUGUGGCUGGCUACCUUUUUUUUUUUUUUUUUUGUAGAGACAGGAUCUCGCUAUGUUGCCCAGGAUGGUCUUGAACCCCUGGGCUCAAGUGAUCCCCCCACCUCAGCCUCCCAAAAUGCUGGGAUUACAGGCACUGCACCUGGCCAAAAGGGUGUAUUUUCUAAAAAGAAUUUUUGAAGGUGUUUCUUCCAUCUCUGCUUCUGUCUCACCUGCUGGCCCUUGGAUUGGGGAUCUACGUCAGGGAAAGCGUCUGACGACAUCAAUCAGUACCUUCAGAUGAAGAAUUGAAAUCUGACUUGGUUCACACAGUGGAGGCUAUCUACUGAAAACUGCACCUAACUCUGCUUUUUAUUAUUUUUUAAGCAGAAACUAGGAAACCAAGGUACAACUCCACAGUCGAAUUUAUGCACUAAAAUGUGUUUGCUGAUUUGUGUGCUCUUAGAAUCAGCUUUCUUUUACGCAAGGCUGUGUCUGUCAAGAGACUGGAAAUAGAAAAAAAUAAAUCUUUGCUAAAUUCUUCAGAGAUUACAAUAUUUGCAUAUAGUUUAAAACAAAACCUUAUAAAAGGCUUUUUGAUUAAACCAGAAAAAAAAAGUUGUUUACUUAAAAAUAAACACUUGCACUUCCCCAGUGUUACUAGGCCCCUUGCAGGCUUGGUUUGAGUGGCUAGAGCUGGAGCCAGUUGCAGCAGUAAAAGUGACCCAUAUUUUUUGACUUUUCUUUUUUUUUUUUUGAGACGGAGUCUCGCUCUGUCGC
RNAcentral lists this long non-coding RNA (3361 nucleotides) under Homo sapiens (human). Its description in RNAcentral is "HSALNT0247710". Lineage: Eukaryota; Metazoa; Chordata; Mammalia; Primates; Hominidae. The record is from RNAcentral.